CCAGCUUCAUGCACUCGAGUUGCAGAGUGCAAUCCGGACUACGAUCGGUUUUCUGGGAUUAGCUCCCCCUCGCGGGUUGGCGGCCCUCUGUAUGUACCAUUGUAUGACGUGUGAAGCCCUACCCAUAAGGGCCAUGAGGACUUGACGUCAUCCCCACCUUCCUCCGGUUUGUCACCGGCAGUCUCAUUAGAGUGCCCUUUCGUAGCAACUAAUGACAAGGGUUGCGCUCGUUGCGGGACUUAACCCAACAUCUCACGACACGAGCUGACGACAGCCAUGCAGCACCUGUGUUCAGGUCCCCUUUCGGGCACUCCCCGAUCUCUCGAGGAUUCCUGACAUGUCAAGGGUAGGUAAGGUUUUUCGCGUUGCAUCGAAUUAAUCCACAUCAUCCACCGCUUGUGCGGGUCCCCGUCAAUUCCUUUGAGUUUUAAUCUUGCGACCGUACUCCCCA
This 451-nucleotide ribosomal RNA is filed under the name uncultured bacterium. Its description in RNAcentral is "partial 16S ribosomal RNA". The record is from RNAcentral.